CGAGUUGGCCAGACAGUCGCCGCGUUCGCAAGAACGGGGAGGAAAGUCCGGGCUUCAAAGAGCAGGGUGCCAGGUAACGCCUGGGCGGUGUGAACCGACGACAAGUGCAACAGAGAGGAGACCGCCAUCAUAGCCUCGGCUAAGGUGGUAAGGGUGAAAGGGUGCGGUAAGAGCGCACCGUGCGGCUAGCAAUAGUCCGUAGCAAGGUAAACUCCACCCGAAGCAAGACCAAAUAGGGUUCCGUAUGGCGUGGCUCGCGUUGGAACCGGGUAGGUCGCUUGAGCCUGUGAGCGAUUGCAGGCCUAGAUGAAUGACUGUCCACGACAGGACCCGGCUUAUCGGCCAACUCAACCU
This 354-nucleotide RNase P RNA is filed under the name Shewanella oneidensis. RNAcentral's name for it is "RNase P RNA component class A". It matches the Rfam family "Bacterial RNase P class A". From Rfam's summary of the family: Ribonuclease P (RNase P) is a ubiquitous endoribonuclease, found in archaea, bacteria and eukarya as well as chloroplasts and mitochondria. Its best characterised activity is the generation of mature 5'-ends of tRNAs by cleaving the 5'-leader elements of precursor-tRNAs. Lineage: Bacteria; Pseudomonadati; Pseudomonadota; Gammaproteobacteria; Alteromonadales; Shewanellaceae. RNAcentral also lists the same sequence under 1 other name. The record is from RNAcentral.